GGCGGAACAAGCGGGUAAACAGAAGAACAAAAAGAGGAAGGAGAGGACUCAGAAAAAGCGAAAAGUUUCAAACAACGAAGGAGGAAGAAAAGGUACUAACCCGAGGUCCGAUUCCACUUCUCAAGCUCAUCGGAAACGUUGUUUUCAGUAGCUUAAGCAAUCACCAAGUCAAGAGCUUCAAGAAGAUCCUUUGUGCAAGAGAUGAGGUAUUUUCUUGGGAUGAGGAUCACAUGAUUAUUAUAAGGAGCUUACAUGAGUUAGGGUUUCAUUUUGAAGCAAUUUCACCAAGUGGUAGAGGCUCAAGUUAAUCAAGACAUUUCAAGGUCAUCUGAGGACCAAAAGUCAACUGUGCAGUCAACUGAGGGCUAUGAGGUGGGGAAAUGAGUUGAGACAACUCAAUCAUGUUCAAAUGGGGGCUAUUCAUCAUUCUAAACAUCCAUCUUGAAGAUUCAAAGGUCAUGGCAAAAGUUACUAAAAAUGGAAAAUGACCUAUAAUUCAAAGUUUCCAAAUUUGGCAAGUUUUGGUCCACUUUCAACUUGACUUGUCAAUGUCAAAUAAGUUUCAAAUGGACUUUUGGUGAACAUGAAAGUUGUAGAUUUUUGUCUCCCCUUUCAAAAAAGUCCUAAUUCAUGUCCAUAUGAUGAAUGGUUGAGAAGUUAUGGUCAUUUGAUCACAAAGUGUGCAUGGAAAUUCAAAAUGGCAUAACUUUUGAUGUAAUGCUUCAAAUUGGUUCAUUCUUUUUGCAAAAUGCUUCUCAUGUUCAAGGCAUCUCAAAGUAACAUCAUUUGGCUCAAUUGUGCAAAGGAAUCAUGGUCAAAAGUUCAUUAUUUCACACAUGUUCAUUUUGAAGAAAAUCUUCACCAUUCAUUAUUGGCUUAAGAUGCAAGCAAAUUAAUAUUCAAAUCAUGACCAUUGGUUGCUUUUGAGUGAAUUCCAAUCAUAACAUGGAGAUGAUCACGUGUAUUAUGGGCACAUGAGCUCAUUUUGCAUUUUUGCAAAUUGCUUCAUAUCUCACUAAUCAUGAUUAGCAAAUGGAAAAGAUGAUUAGCAUUGUCAUUAGCAUGGGAUAUAAAUACUGAAACCCUAAUCAUAACUGCAAGAACAAACCAUUUCAGAUCUGAAAAAUUAAAGAAUUCUCUCAAAUUUCUCUCUCUUCGAUUCUUCAUUUUCUCCACACAAACACCAAAUAUUCUUGUAGAUUAUUGAUCCUCAUGCUUCACUGAGCAAGAAUCAUCCAUCAUCUGUUGCAAUUCAUCAAGAUUUCGAGCUGUUCAAGAGCAUUCUCAUGGCAAUGGAAGCUGGAAAUUGAGGUAGAUUCAAGAGGUUUCAACUGUUUCUUCUUGCACAAAGCUUCAACAGAAGUUCAUAGGAGUGGAUCUGGAGCACUAGAGCUUGUGAUAACACGAUUUUAGAAAGCUUCAAUUCAAGGUGACUCAAUUUUCGUCCUCUCCUUUUGCUGUUUUCAUGAUAUAGAACUGUAGAUCUUGUUGAGUAGAGCAUGGACAUAUGUUUAGAUUUGAAUUUGGUUGAGAAUUGAGCAUGUAUGGUUGACUGGAAGUUUAGAUCUAGAAUAUGUUUUCCUUCGAUCUACCAAAUUUAUGAGGAAUUAGAGGAAAUUGAUGUGAUAUUUGGAACCUACGUGGAGAGACGGUUCGAAUGAUAUAAGCCUUGUUGAUUUCUGGAAUUUUUUUUUGUGGAAGAGCCGUUGGAGGCUCGCCGGGGAAGACGACCGGAGCUGUAGCUCCGGCGUCUGCGUGUACUUAGGGUUUGCGUGAUGUGUCUGCCAUGUGUGCCUUGCGUGGACAGGCGAUUGGCUAGAAUUUGUUUGACCAUGGCCAUGCAUUAUUUGACUGCUGAUGUGUGUGUGCUGACUAUUAAAUGAAACGGUGCGUUUCAUGCUUUUGAAUGUGAGCUGUUGAUGCUUGAAGCGUGCCAGAUCCAAGGGUGUGUGAUUUUUCUGAGUUUAUUUGAAUAUUUGUAUUUCCCUCCAUUUUCCAUUUGAUAAUUCAAUUAUUUUGCUUGUUUUUUUUUAAAUCAUAAAAAAUGCAAAAAUGAUCCAAAUGAGUUCCAAUUUUUUUUCAUGGUUUUGUAUUGAUGUCUAAUUUUUUUUAAUGUUAAUUUCAUGAAUUGUUGAUGUCUGGUUUUUGAUGUGUGAAUUUUUGAAUUGAUGUGAUGCCAAAUUGAUAUGUUGCA
Molecule: RNA transcript, 2194 nt
Organism: Lathyrus oleraceus (garden pea)
Lineage: Eukaryota; Viridiplantae; Streptophyta; Magnoliopsida; Fabales; Fabaceae
Exons: 2
Source: RefSeq, a predicted model, not a curated record